This 486-nucleotide ribosomal RNA is filed under the name uncultured bacterium. Its description in RNAcentral is "bacterial SSU rRNA". It matches the Rfam family "Bacterial small subunit ribosomal RNA", at positions 62 to 543 of the family's 1533-position model. The record is from RNAcentral.
UCGAGCGGCAGCGCGGGGGCAACCCUGGCGGCAAGCGGCGAACGGGUGAGGAAUACAUCGGAACGUACCCGAGAGUGGGGGAUAACGCCGCGAAAGCGGCGCUAAUACCGCAUAUUCUCUUUGGAGGAAAGUGGGGGACCGCAAGGCCUCACGCUCACGGAGCGGCCGAUGUCCGAUUAGCUAGUUGGUGGGGUAAAGGCUUACCAAGGCGACGAUCGGUAGCUGGUCUGAGAGGAUGAUCAGCCACACUGGGGCUGAGACACGGCCCAGACUCCUACGGGAGGCAGCAGUGGGGGAUUUUGGACAAUGGGGGCAACCCUGAUCCAGCCAUGCCGCGUGCGGGAAGAAGGCCUUCGGGUUGUAAACCGCUUUUAGCCGGGAAGAAAAGGCGAAGGUUAAUACCUUUCGUUCUUGACGGUACCGGCGGAAUAAGCACCGGCUAACUACGUGCCAGCAGCCGCGGUAAUACGUAGGGUGCGAGCGUUA